GACGAACGCUGGCGGCGUGCUUAACACAUGCAAGUCGAACGAUGAACCCGGAGCUUGCUCCGGCGGAUUAGUGGCGAACGGGUGAGUAACACGUGAGUAACCCGCCCUUGACUCUGGGAUAACUGCUAGAAAUGGUAGCUAAUACCGGAUACGACCCUCGGCGGCAUCGCCAGGGGGUGGAAAGAAUUUCGGUCAAGGAUGGACUCGCGGCCUAUCAGCUAGUUGGUGAGGUAACGGCUCACCAAGGCGACGACGGGUAGCCGGCCUGAGAGGGUGACCGGCCACACUGGGACUGAGACACGGCCCAGACUCCUACGGGAGGCAGCAGUGGGGAACAUUGCACAAUGGGCGAAAGCCUGACGCAGCAACGCCGCGUGAGGGAAGAAGGCCUUCGGGUUGUAAACCUCUUCCAGUAGGGACGAAGCUUCCGGGGUUAAUAGCCCACGGGGUGACGGUACCUACAGAAGAAGCCCCGGCUA
This 479-nucleotide ribosomal RNA is filed under the name uncultured bacterium. RNAcentral describes it as "partial 16S ribosomal RNA". It matches the Rfam family "Bacterial small subunit ribosomal RNA", at positions 28 to 499 of the family's 1533-position model. The record is from RNAcentral.